This 315-nucleotide ribosomal RNA is filed under the name uncultured bacterium. RNAcentral describes it as "bacterial SSU rRNA". It matches the Rfam family "Bacterial small subunit ribosomal RNA", at positions 32 to 353 of the family's 1533-position model. The record is from RNAcentral.
AAUCAACGCUGGCGGCGUGCCUAACACAUGCAAGUCGAACGAGAAAGUGGAGCAAUCCAUGAGUAAAGUGGCGCACGGGUGAGUAACACGUGACUAACCUACCCUUGAGUGGGGGGAUAACCUAGGGAAACCUGGGCUAAUACCGCAAUAAUACCUACGGGUACAAAGGAGCAAUUCGCUUUGGGGAGGGGGUCGCGGCCGAUUAGUUAGUUGGCAGGGUAAUGGCCUACCAAGACGAUGAUCGGUANCCGGCCUGAGAGGGCGCACGGACACACUGGAACUGAAACACGGUCCAGACUCCUACGGGAGGCAGCA